AAAUUAUAGCAGUGAAAUUCAUAUUCUGUCGUAAUAGUAGAGAAAUAAAUAAUUAAAUUUACGGGUGUAUGCAUCAGGCUUCCACAGGAUGUGCUACGAUUUCUGUGUGUGAGUUUGUGUGUGUGUGUGUGUGUGUGUGAGAGGGAGAGGGAGAGCGAGAGAGAUAGAAAGGAAGCGAUUAUAUAAGACGGCAGUAUCACGUUCCUCAGAUACAGUGAUGUUAGCGACAUCAGCCGAGAUGGCGAUUUUGUAAACACGCACGUUUGAGUUUUGUUGACUUUUAUAUUUGUCCAACGUACCUUAGAAGGCAGUGGUCCCAAUUUACAUCUAGACCACUCAAAGGAAUAUUUAUCUCCGAUAUGCUAACGUGUCUAACACUGAACCGGUUAGCGGGUAGUCUUGUUUAAUUUAGCAUUAACCGGCACCCGCUAGGUUUCGAAAUGCUAAUCUCUGUGACGUACGUGUGUUUAGUGCAGACAAGAAUUUCUCUUAUUUAUAAACAAUGUGUUUGGGUCGAGCUAUGCUAAUACGACCGUAACCAUCUCCGAAAGGACGACUUUUACAGCCGUACGGACACGUUCAUAGACACAUCUGCAGGAUCGGGUUCAACAGGCACCGCCUGCCGCGCUACACGCAUCUUAUCUUUAUCUUAUCUAUUGCGAAGCUGUCGUAUUGCUCGUCUCACGUACACACAGUCGCCUCGCGUUUUCACACGGCGAGAGAAAAUCAAGGCGCUAGUCAGCGACGAAUAACGUCUUUCUUUUUUGUCUUAACGUGCGACGCAAGGACGAAACACCAGGUUGCGCUACAUGUUCAUGUCCCCUUAAUUGUGUAUGAAUUCACGUUAACUAGCAAACCAGCUCAAGACGUAUAUUUAUGUUACGUCAGCUAGCGCUUUUUAGCCAGGCCCAUUAACUCUGGACGUGACGCUGGAGCUUUUUCAUCCUCGUUUAAAUGAAUCCAAUUCCAAAAAAUUUCCCUUAAACGCCCGUUUGAAGUCAUUUGUUUCCGUCUCUGUUCCUCACACAUACACCGCGGACGCGACGGAUAAACGUUAGCCCGGAAGACAGCGUUUUGAGUGUUCGCGAUCGCCAUGACGACGUGAGCUGUAGCCGAUGUCCGUUUCGUCUCGUACGUCUGUACGUACUUGUAUGUUUGUAAAUAAAACCGAUGGCACGUAAUUGUCUUAGAUUCUCGAGGCACACGCCGUAUCCGACCGUCGUUCCGUGACCGACCCGACGACGUCGCGUAGCCGUGCGUUUCUCAUUAGAAGCACACGAGAUAGCGUCACGGUGAUUUAUUUUCACUGGCUUUAAUUUGAAGUUCCUGGAACUGUGUAGCGAUUGUACC
Long non-coding RNA from Ictalurus punctatus (channel catfish), 1350 nucleotides. The record is from Ensembl. NCBI's taxonomy places the organism in Eukaryota, Metazoa, Chordata, Actinopteri, Siluriformes, Ictaluridae.